UGGGAAUUUUGGACAAUGGGCGAAAGCCUGAUCCAGCAAUGCCGCGUGUGUGAAGAAGGCCUUCGGGUUGUAAAGCACUUUUGUCCGGAAAGAAAUCCUUGGCUCUAAUACAGUCGGGGGAUGACGGUACCGGAAGAAUAAGCACCGGCUAACUACGUGCCAGCAGCCGCGGUAAUACGUAGGGUGCAAGCGUUAAUCGGAAUUACUGGGCGUAAAGCGUGCGCAGGCGGUUUGCUAAGACCGAUGUGAAAUCCCCGGGCUCAACCUGGGAACUGCAUUGGUGACUGGCAGGCUAGAGUAUGGCAGAGGGGGUAGAAUUCCACGUGUAGCAGUGAAAUGCGUAGAGAUGUGGAGGAAUACCGAUGGCGAAGGCAGCCCCCUGGGCCAAUACUGACGCUCAUGCACGAAAGCGUGGGGAGCAAACAGGAUUAGAUACCCUGGUAGUCCACGCCCUAAACGAUGUCAACUAGUUGUUGGGGGAUUCAUUUCCUUAGUAACGUAGCUAACGCGUGAAGUUGACCGCCUGGGGAGUACGGUCGCAAGAUUAAAACUCAAAUGAAUUGACGGGGUCAUAGCUGUUUCCU
RNAcentral lists this ribosomal RNA (584 nucleotides) under uncultured bacterium. RNAcentral's name for it is "partial 16S ribosomal RNA". It matches the Rfam family "Bacterial small subunit ribosomal RNA", at positions 356 to 1375 of the family's 1533-position model. The record is from RNAcentral.